UGGGGGAAGCGGAUCGCGUUGGCCUGGUGGGCGCCUGUGUGUUCAGCCUUCGGGUGCAUUGGCACAGGUGCUUAUCCGCUGUGGGUUUUCGGGGGUCGAUUUUGGAUCCCUGGAGGCUGAGGGCUCCCUUCGGGUGAGGACAGCGGAGUGACGACGCGAUACGACCCGUCUUGAAACACGGACCAAGGAGUCUAGCGCGGGUGCGAGUCGGAGGGUGCAAGCCCGUGGGCGAAGUGAAAGCGAGUGUAAAAACGAGCAGUUUGGGGCGGCAUAAGAUCGUUGAUCUCAAGACCGACCCAGAGCAGUUGCGCUGGGACCCGAAAGAUGGUGAACUAUGCCGGAGUAGGGCAAAGCCAGAGGAAACUCUGGUGGAGGCUCGUAGCGGUGCUGACGUGCAAAUCGCUCGUCCAACUUGGGUAUAGGGGCGAAAGACUAAUCGAACCAUCUAGUAGCUGGUUCCCUCCGAAGUUUCUCUCAGGAUAGCGGGCCGACAAGUUGUUUUGUGCGGUAAAGCGAAUGAUUAGCGCACGUGGGGCCAUUUCGGCUUCAGGCGAUUCUCAAACUUUAAAUGCGCAAGGGUGUCGCUGCUUAAUUGAGCGGCACCGCUAAAAACGUCGGCCCUGUGGGCCACUUUUGGUAAGCAGAACUGGCGAUACGGGAUGAACCGUAAGCAUGGUUAAGGCGCCAAACUGCCCGCUUAUA
Molecule: ribosomal RNA, 702 nt
Filed under: Furcellaria lumbricalis
Lineage: Eukaryota; Rhodophyta; Florideophyceae; Gigartinales; Furcellariaceae
Description: eukaryotic LSU rRNA
Rfam family: Eukaryotic large subunit ribosomal RNA
Source: RNAcentral